This 556-nucleotide long non-coding RNA is filed under the name Pan troglodytes (chimpanzee). RNAcentral's name for it is "long non-coding RNA NONPTRT011095". The record is from RNAcentral. Lineage: Eukaryota; Metazoa; Chordata; Mammalia; Primates; Hominidae.
GGGCGCCCUGAAACGGGGUCCACGUCAGCCCGCUCCCGAGCGUGUCCUCAGGUCUAAGGACGGGUGGGGCUUCCUUUGUGUGUUCUCUGGAAGGGGCUGGGAUGGCGUCGUUGCUGCCCCAAGGGGUAACCGAGGGGGAUUGAGGGAAGAUGGUACCAGCUCCCUAGAGCUCAGCUCACCAGACCUACUCUUCCGCUCGACCCUUGCAGAGGAGGUGGGGAGGGAUAUGGUAUUUGUAGGGCAGCGCUGUGAACAAUGGAGCCAUCAAAAAGGCCUUCUCCCAGCCUCCUCACCAACCACGGACAUUCCUGGCCCAACAAGCCCUCCUGGCCAGGUUUUGAGCCCUGCUUCCCAGAUCUGGGGACCCUUCACCUGCCUCUACUACUGCAAAUGAUUGGAUAUUCGUCUGCCUUGGCUCUUCCCUAAUGUGUGGAACUAAUUUUGUUCACUCUGUUUCAUGCUGGACCUGGCCUGAAAAUGGGCCCUUAUAUUGUCUUUGCACUUUCCAACUUGCCAAGGCCUUCUGCAAGAGAGAUCUAAGAACCAGCCCUCAAAG